UUGAAGUGUACUUGAAUUAUCAAAGCAAAGUUUAUUCUUAAUUUCCAUCCUCAUAUCAAUUAGUUUUCUCGUCGAACAGCAAUUGUGAUGAUUUUAAUAUAUUUGUUCUCGUUUUUACAGUGCUGUUUCGGAUCCCCGUUAAUAAGCCAAUUCCCGAUGACGUCAUCAUCAUCCGCACAUAACUGAGUUCGAUCUGUUCACAUCCGGGAGGAUCUUCUGAAGGGCCGUUGGUUUGUUGUUAAAAAAUCAUUGGAUCCUUUGGUGUUUGAUUUAAGUACCAGUUGUAGAACGACCACAUACGAUUUUGACAAAAAUAAACACGGCUGGUAUAUCAACGUCAAUACAACGGUUUGCUACAAACUCUUUUACAUUUGGAACGAAUGUACAAAAUACUCUCUCAAGGCAUACACAACCCCAAAAUCAGCUUCAAACGCACAGGGCUCUUUUAUAGCUGAUUUGAACGACCAAGGCCCUGAGAACUCACCAACAAGCUACCACUUUCUGCGUUUAGAUGAAGACUUUGCAGUGGUAUAUUUUUGCAGAAUGUUGAAUGAGUCAAUGCUUGAAAUGGCAUUCGUUUUAUCCAGGUCACGAAAUCCAGAUUUGGCUGACAUAAAGAAAAUGGAGAGGAUUUUGAUUUAUAAUGGACUGGACAUGGAAAUGAUUGAUGUCAUCAACUCGAACUGCCCUUUGAACGACGAAGAUGAAGAUGACACUGAACCUGAAGCAAAAGUGUUAUAUAAAAAUCAGUACUACAACUUAUAAUUCAGCGAAAUUUAUGUAUGUGUAAUCAAUUUUAUUUACAAAAUGUUGCAACAACACACAGUUAAAUUGAAGUUAUUAAUUA
This is a long non-coding RNA of Symsagittifera roscoffensis, 847 nucleotides long. RefSeq lists it as uncharacterized. The record is from RefSeq and is a predicted model, not a curated record. Lineage: Eukaryota; Metazoa; Xenacoelomorpha; Acoela; Convolutidae. The transcript is spliced from 4 exons.